GGACCCGGGUCUUCGGACUGGGAGCGUACACAGGUGCUGCAUGGCUGUCGUCAGCUCGUGUCGUGAGAUGUUGGUUAAGUCCCGCAACGAGCGCAACCCCUGCUGCCAGUUGCCAACGGGUGAAGCCGGGCACUCUGGCGGGACUGCCAUCGACAAGAUGGAGGAAGGUGGGGAUGACGUCAAGUCAUCAUGCCCCUUAUGUCCAGGGCUUCACACAUGCUACAAUGGCCAGUACAGAGGGCUGCGAGACCGUGAGGUGGAGCGAAUCCCUUAAAGCUGGUCUCAGUUCGGAUCGGGGUCUGCAACUCGACCCCGUGAAGUCGGAGUCGCUAGUAAUCGCAGAUCAGCAACGCUGCGGUGAAUACGUUCCCGGGCCUU
This 378-nucleotide ribosomal RNA is filed under the name uncultured Pseudonocardia sp. RNAcentral's name for it is "bacterial SSU rRNA". It matches the Rfam family "Bacterial small subunit ribosomal RNA", at positions 1004 to 1382 of the family's 1533-position model. The record is from RNAcentral. Lineage: Bacteria; Bacillati; Actinomycetota; Actinomycetes; Pseudonocardiales; Pseudonocardiaceae.